This 502-nucleotide ribosomal RNA is filed under the name uncultured bacterium. Its description in RNAcentral is "partial 16S ribosomal RNA". It matches the Rfam family "Bacterial small subunit ribosomal RNA", at positions 29 to 506 of the family's 1533-position model. The record is from RNAcentral.
AACGAACGCUGGCGGCGUGCCUAACACAUGCAAGUCGAACGAGAAAGGGGCUUCGGCUCCGAGUAAAGUGGCGCACGGGUGAGUAACACGUGGGUAACCUGCCUCUAAGAUUGGGAUAACUCGUCGAAAGAUGAGCUAAUACCGAAUAAGACCACAGUUCCCGCGGGAACAGGGGUCAAAGGUAGCCUCUGCUUGCAAGCUAUCACUUAGAGAUGGGCCUGCGCACCAUUAGCUAGUUGGUAGGGUAACGGCCUACCAAGGCAAAGAUGGUUAGCUGGUCUGAGAGGAUGAUCAGCCACACUGGAACUGAGACACGGUCCAGACUCCUACGGGAGGCAGCAGUGGGGAAUAUUGCGCAAUGGGCGAAAGCUUGACGCAGCAACGCCGCGUGAGUGAUGAAGGCCUUCGGGUCGUAAAGCUCUGUCGGGAGGAACGAAUGCUCCUGAGGUUAACAGCCUCGGGAGGUGACGGUACCUUAAAAGGAAGCACCGGCUAACUCUGU